UGCCAGCCGCCGCGGUAAUACGAAGGUGGCAAGCGUUAUUCGGAAUCACUGGGCAUAAAGGGCCCGCAGGCGGUUUGGAAAGUUAAUAGUGAAAGCCCUUGGCUUAACCAAGGAAUUGCUGUUAAAACUUCCAGGCUAGAGUGUUGGAGGGGUGAGUGGAAUUCCUGGUGGAGCGGUGGAAUGCGUAGAUAUCAGGAGGAACGCCGGAGGCGAAAGCGACUCACUGGACAACAACUGACGCUGAGGGGCGAAAGCUAGGGGAGCAAACGGGAUUAGAUA
This 279-nucleotide ribosomal RNA is filed under the name uncultured bacterium. RNAcentral describes it as "partial 16S ribosomal RNA". It matches the Rfam family "Bacterial small subunit ribosomal RNA", at positions 506 to 784 of the family's 1533-position model. The record is from RNAcentral.